GGGCUCAUAGCUCAGCUGGCUAGAGCGCAGCAUUCGCAUUGCUGAGGCCGAGGGUUCAAAUCCCUCUGAGUCCA
Molecule: transfer RNA, 74 nt
Filed under: Candidatus Kuenenbacteria bacterium RIFCSPHIGHO2_12_FULL_42_14
Lineage: Bacteria; Candidatus Kueneniibacteriota
Also listed under: 2 other names
Description: tRNA-Ala
Rfam family: tRNA
About the family: Transfer RNA (tRNA) molecules are approximately 80 nucleotides in length. Their secondary structure includes four short double-helical elements and three loops (D, anti-codon, and T loops). Further hydrogen bonds mediate the characteristic L-shaped molecular structure. tRNAs have two regions of fundamental functional importance: the anti-codon, which is responsible for specific mRNA codon recognition, and the 3' end, to which the tRNAs corresponding amino acid is attached (by aminoacyl-tRNA synthetases). tRNAs cope with the degeneracy of the genetic code in two manners: having more than one tRNA (with a specific anti-codon) for a particular amino acid; and 'wobble' base-pairing, i.e. permitting non-standard base-pairing at the 3rd anti-codon position.
Source: RNAcentral